UACAGAGGUCCCGAGCGUUGUUCGGAUUCAUUGGGCGUAAAGGGUGCGUAGGCGGCGGGGUAAGUCUGAUGUGAAAUCCUGGGGCUCAACCCUGGAACUGCAUUGGAUACUGCCUUGCUAGAGAACUGGAGAGGAGACUGGAAUUUACGGUGUAGCAGUGAAGUGCGUAGAGAUCGGUAAGGAAGACCAGUGGCGAAGGCGAGUCUCUGGACAGUUACGUGACGCUGAGGCACGAAGGCCCAGGGGAGCAAACGGG
RNAcentral lists this ribosomal RNA (256 nucleotides) under uncultured bacterium. RNAcentral's name for it is "partial 16S ribosomal RNA". It matches the Rfam family "Bacterial small subunit ribosomal RNA", at positions 524 to 776 of the family's 1533-position model. The record is from RNAcentral.